GGAGUCUAGCAUGUGCGCGAGUCAUUGGGACUCUUAUACUAAACCUAAAGGCGAAAUGAAAGUGAAGGCGCGCCUCGCGCGCGCCUAGGGAGGAUGGGCGAGGCUACGUCCUCGCCCCGCACUCCCGGGGCGUCUCGUUCUCAUCGCGAGAAGAGGCGCACCCAGAGCGUACACGCUGGGACCCGAAAGAUGGUGAACUAUGCCUGGUCAGGACGAAGUCAGGGGAAACCCUGAUGGAGGUCCGUAGCGAUUCUGACGUGCAAAUCGAUCGUCGGAACUGGGUAUAGGGGCGAAAGACUAAUCGAACCAUCUAGUAGCUGGUUCCCUCCGAAGUUUCCCUCAGGAUAGCUGGCGCUCGCAAUUUUGCGAGUCUCAUCCGGUAAAGCGAAUGAUUAGAGGCAUUGGGGUCGAAACGGCCUCAACCUAUUCUCAAACUUUAAAUGGGUGAGAUCUCCGGCUUGCUUGAACAACGUAUCUUGAAGCCGCGAGAUCGGAUCAGAGUGCCAAGUGGGCCACUUUUGGUAAGCAGAACUGGCGCUGUGGGAUGAACCAAACGCGGAGUUAAAGCGCCUAAAUCGACGCUUAUGGGAUACCAUGAAAGGCGUUGGUAACUUAAGACAGCAGGACGGUGGCCAUGGAA
This 640-nucleotide ribosomal RNA is filed under the name Wynarka sp. NLG. Its description in RNAcentral is "eukaryotic LSU rRNA". It matches the Rfam family "Eukaryotic large subunit ribosomal RNA", at positions 670 to 1259 of the family's 3401-position model. The record is from RNAcentral. Lineage: Eukaryota; Metazoa; Arthropoda; Insecta; Coleoptera; Elateridae.